This is a long non-coding RNA of Chelonia mydas (Green sea turtle), 1066 nucleotides long. RefSeq lists it as uncharacterized. NCBI's taxonomy places the organism in Eukaryota, Metazoa, Chordata, Testudines, Cheloniidae. The transcript is spliced from 3 exons. The record is from RefSeq and is a predicted model, not a curated record.
UUGCCCUAGACCUCACCUCUAGGGGCAGUCCUAUGGUGACACCAUAAACUUCAGUGGAGAGAGAACCCAUGUGCACCAACAGAAGUGGAGCUGAUCUGCUGAGGUAACAGAAAACUACUCUCCUUGGCAUGAUGAAGACCUAUCAGGACUAAAUGAAGAAUUUAACAGUGGGGAUGUUAGGUCCAGAAGAGCCAGAGCCAGUGGCCUGCUUCCUUCUCUUCACCUUCUUAUGCCAAAGAAACUACCACCAGAAUUGUUGCUGGGAGCCCAGAAGAGAGACUCCUUUACAGCACAGGUUUGAAGGAAUGGAAUUUCUCCAGAUGCAGGACAAGGUAACCCUGUAUUGCUGCUAGCAUUUAAAAACUCAGAGACAGAGGAAAUCUGGGCAGGAGGAGGAACACAGGGCUAUGCUUUCAUAGCAGAAGGGUCCUUUGUGACUGUGGGACCAACUCAGUAAGAAGGAAGCUGGCUGGAGGAGAGAGAGGAAAAACUCCAUGUUCCAGAGGUGAAGUCCUGAGGAGAGAGGCCCAGAAGAGGGGACCUGGAAUCCUGAAAAAGACACUGACCUGAAACCUGAAGAACAUUCCAAAGUGGUGUGGAAACUGAGGCAAGGGAUGGCAUAUAGGUGUGUUGUUGUUUGGUCUAUAUAUAUAUAUAUGUAUUUCUUGUCCUGUCUAAAGUAAAGAGUGAUGGCACUGGAGCCUUUAGCAAAGUUUCUGUGUUAUGUGCUUCAAAUAUCACGUGUCCCUAGUGAGGCAAACUGUAAACCAGAAUGCCCACAAUGUUAGACCUUGGGGAAAGAGUGUUAAGCUACUGGAAAGUCUUGGGAUGAAGGGGUAAUAGACACACAGACAUGAAGGGGUAACAGAAGUGUGCCAGCGAGGCCAAGGAAAGAGACGGUGCUGGAGACUAGGGAAGCUAAAGAGCAUGUGGGGCCGAUGUGGUGGUACCCAAACAUAGCAGCCUGGUGAGGAUUCUGCGGGGCUAGAUUUAUCAGGGCUGUGACAGGAGAUAAUGAAUUCUACAGAGGUGUAAUUUCAAAACUGAAUAGUGAACUUAUUAAUCU